GCCCCUACGGGAGGCAGCAGUGAGGAAUAUUGGUCAAUGGCCGGAAGGCUGAACCAGCCAAGCCGCGUGAGGGAGGAAGGCGCAGAGCGUCGCAGACCUCUUUUGCCGGGGGACAAAAGGCCGGACUCGUCCGGUCCUGAGGGUACCCGAAGAAAAAGCAUCGGCUAACUCCGUGCCAGCAGCCGCGGUAAUACGGAGGAUGCGAGCGUUAUCCGGAUUUAUUGGGUUUAAAGGGUGCGUAGGCGGUCCGUUAAGUCAGCGGUAAAAUUGCGGGGCUCAACCCCGUCGAGCCGUUGAAACUGGCG
This 305-nucleotide ribosomal RNA is filed under the name uncultured bacterium. RNAcentral describes it as "bacterial SSU rRNA". It matches the Rfam family "Bacterial small subunit ribosomal RNA", at positions 335 to 638 of the family's 1533-position model. The record is from RNAcentral.